AGAGUUUGAUCCUGGCUCAGGAUGAACGCUAGCGGUAGGCUUAACACAUGCAAGUUGAACGGUAACAGGGAUAGCAAUAUCUGCUGACGAGUAGCGCACGGGUGAGUAACGCGUAUGCAACCUACCCUUAACAGGAGGAUAGCCCCGGGAAACUGGGAUUACUACUCCAUAGUAUUUAUCUAUAGCAUUUUAGAUAAAUUAAAGCUUUUGCGGUUAAGGAUGGGCAUGCGUAUCAUUAGCUAGUUGGUGAGGUAACGGCUCACCAAGGCAUCGAUGAUUAGGGGUUCUGAGAGGAUUAUCCCCCACACUGGUACUGAGACACGGACCAGACUCCUACGGGAGGCAGCAGUGAGGAAUAUUGGUCAAUGGGCAGAUGCCUGAACCAGCCAAUCCGCGUGUAGGAUGACUGCCCUAUGGGUUGUAAACUACUUUUAUAAGGGAAGAAAAAGCCACUUGUGGUGUUAUGACGGUACCUUAUGAAUAAGCAUCGGCUAACUCCGUGCCAGCAGCCGCGGUAAUACGGAGGAUGCAGGCGUUAUCCGGAUUUAUUGGGUUUAAAGGGUGCGUAGGCGGACUAAUAAGUCAGUGGUGAAAACUUGCAGCUCAACUGUAUUCGUGCCAUUGAUACUGUUAGCCUUGAGUAUAGUUGAAGUAGGCGGAAUGUGUAGUGUAGCGGUGAAAUGCAUAGAUAUUACACAGAACACCGAUUGCGAAGGCAGCUUACUAAACUAUAACUGACGCUGAUGCACGAAAGCGUGGGUAUCAAACAGGAUUAGAUACCCUGGUAGUCCACGCCGUAAACAUGAUUACUCGUUGUGUGCCUUCGGGUACGUGACUGAGCGAAAGCACUAAGUAAUCCACCUGGGGAGUACGUUGGCAACAAUGAAACUCAAAGGAAUUGACGGGGGCCCGCACAAGCGGAGGAACAUGUGGUUUAAUUCGAUGAUACGCGAGGAACCUUACCUGGGCUUAAAUGCAGAUUGACUUUAGUCGAAAGAUUAUUUCCCUUCGGGGCAAACUGCAAGGUGCUGCAUGGUUGUCGUCAGCUCGUGCCGUGAGGUGUCGGGUUAAGUCCCAUAACGAGCGCAACCCCUAUUAUUAGUUGCUAGCAGGUUAAGCUGAGGACCCUAAUAAGACUGCCACCGUAAGGUGUGAGGAAGGUGGGGAUGUCGUCAAAUCAGCACGGCCCUUACGUCCAGGGCUACACACGUGUUACAAUGGCCGGUACAAAGGGCAGCUACAUGGCGACAUGAUGCUAAUCUCUAAAACCGGUCUCAGUUCGGAUCGGAGUCUGCAACUCGACUCCGUGAAGAUGGAUUCGCUAGUAAUCGCGUAUCAGCAAUGACGCGGUGAAUACGUUCCCGGGCCUUGUACACACCGCCCGUCAAGCCAUGGAAGCUGGGGGUACCUGAAGUCCGUAACCGCAAGGAUCGGCCUAGGGUAAAAACUAGUGACUGGGGCUAAGUCGUAACAAGGUA
Molecule: ribosomal RNA, 1478 nt
Filed under: metagenome
Description: bacterial SSU rRNA
Rfam family: Bacterial small subunit ribosomal RNA
Source: RNAcentral